AACGAACGCUGGCGGCAUGCCUAACACAUGCAAGUCGAACGAAGCCUUCGGGCUUAGUGGCGCACGGGUGCGUAACGCGUGGGAAUCUGCCAUUGGGUUCGGAAUAACAGUUAGAAAUGACUGCUAAUACCGGAUGAUGUCUUCGGACCAAAGAUUUAUCGCCCAAGGAUGAGGCCGCGUAGGCUUAGGUAGUUGGUGGGGGAAUGGCCCACCAAGCCGACGAUCCUUAGCUGGUCUGAGAGGAUGAUCAGCAACACUGGGACUGAGACACGGCCCAGACUCCUACGGGAGGCAGCAGUGGGGAAUAUUGGACAAUGGGCGAAAGCCUGAUCCAGCAAUGCCGCGUGAGUGAUGAAGGCCUUAGGGUUGUAAAGCUCUUUUACCAGGGAUGAUAAUGACAGUACCUGGAGAAUAAGCUCCGGCUAACUCCGUGCCAGCAGCCGCGGUAA
RNAcentral lists this ribosomal RNA (449 nucleotides) under uncultured bacterium. RNAcentral's name for it is "partial 16S ribosomal RNA". It matches the Rfam family "Bacterial small subunit ribosomal RNA", at positions 29 to 523 of the family's 1533-position model. The record is from RNAcentral.